GGGCCCGUAACUCAGACGAUCCGGGUCGAACCGAAAAUCGGAAGAGUCAGGUAGAGUGGCAGGCUCUUAACCUGUUCGCCAUGGGUUCGCACUGUCCGCAACGGACGUUGGCCCAAAAAUCCCACCGGGCCCG
This 133-nucleotide transfer RNA is filed under the name Thermoproteota archaeon. RNAcentral describes it as "tRNA-Lys". RNAcentral also lists the same sequence under 1 other name. Lineage: Archaea; Thermoproteati; Thermoproteota. The record is from RNAcentral.